RNA transcript from Populus nigra (black poplar), 5735 nucleotides. It is a transcript of the gene named probable serine/threonine protein kinase IRE, with no coding region annotated. NCBI's taxonomy places the organism in Eukaryota, Viridiplantae, Streptophyta, Magnoliopsida, Malpighiales, Salicaceae. The record is from RefSeq and is a predicted model, not a curated record. The transcript has 18 exons.
GAAAUUUACAAACAAAACUUUGCGGCGAGCACGUUUCGAAGUAGAAAAUCAACAGAACCUUCCCUUCAUCGUCGUGUCGCCCUCUACGCUCCAUUUCCCGCGAAAACCUCUCCUGUCUCCCCCUCCCAUCUCUCUAUCCAUAUGUUUUUUCUCUUUGUAUCCUCUCUCUUUCUCUCUCUAACAUUCUCACUCUACACUCACAAUGCAAUGAAGAACCUGAUCAAUUCAAUCAGUACCGAUUUACAUCCAUGUCGACAAACGAUCACGAAGAUCCUUCAUCGUCGUCAAAAACGAUGCCGUCUCCUUCUCCGUCAACUCUCAAUCCCUCCUCCUCUCCUUCCUCUUUCAAACUCCGAAAAAUCCCUCCCAUUCCAAUCCGCCGAAUCCAGAAACCCGACGCCCCACUGAACGACACCGAAUCAAUCAACAAUGACGACGGCAGCGAUACAUAUUACGAUAGUAGAAAUGACGGUAAGGAGAUAUUGGAGGAGAGAAAUUAUAAAACGGACAAGAAUUCGCCGAUAAUUAUGGCGUCAGCGCUCGGGUUGAAUCAUAUCAGAACACGAUCCCUCCCGGUUCCUUCUCCGCUUAGGUUUUCGUCGUCUGCUGGUACGCCGUCGUAUUUAGAGAAUGCUCAGGUUAAUAAUAAGGAGGAUAAAACUGACGUCGAAACGAGGCUUGCUGGAGGGGAAAAGGUUUCGUGGAGUCAUUCAAAACCACGGAGAACUCAUUCGCAACUCAAUCCAGCAAUGGAGGGCAAUCAGGCAGCAUUUUUUGCAAAGGAAAUCCAGUCUCCACGUUUUCAAGCUAUAUUGCGUCUUACAAGUGGAAGGAUGAAGAAGCCAGACGUUAAGAGCUUCUCUCAUGAGCUUAAUUCCAAAGGAGUUAGGCCUUUUCCAGUUUGGAAGUCCCGCGCAUUUGGUCAUAUGGAGGAAGUUAUGGUGGUAAUCAGGACGAAAUUCAUCAGGUUAAAGGAGGAAGUUGAUUGUGAUUUAGGUAUAUUUGCUGGGGAUUUGGUGGGUAUACUUGAAAAGACCUCGGAUGCUCACCCUGAAUGGAGAGAGAGUUUGGAGGACUUAUUGGUUGUAGCUCGACAAUGUGCUAAGAUGUCAUCUAAUGAAUUUUGGGUGAAAUGUGAGAGUAUCGUCCUGAACCUAGAUGAUAAACGUCAAGAGCUUCCAAUGGGGAUUGUCAAACAAGCACACACUCGGCUUUUAUUUAUCCUCACUCGAUGCACUAGGCUUGUGCAGUUUCAAAAGGAGAAUGGUUAUGAUGAAGACAAAAUUCUGGGUAUUCAUCAAUGUAGUGAUCUUGGAGUUUAUCCAGAACAGAUUAUAGAAAUUGCACAGCAGGACUUUAGUGGUCCAUUGGUGGGGUGGAAGACAGCGAACGAGAAGCAGAGAAAGAAAUUCCAUAGUCAUGAACAAGACAGUCAGGUUAUUAAGCAAGAUCAUCUAGAUCAAACUUUGGAGGUUAGCACGGCAAAAAGUUUUGAUUCAACUGGAAGUAGUUUUAGGAUGUCAUCUUGGAAAAAACUUCCAUCCGCUGCUGAGAAAAAUCGGAAGGGUUCUGAUCUUGUUCAAACACCUUCAAAGGAUAAAUCAGAACCAAUUCACAAUAAGGAUGAUUAUUCUGAAAAUCUUGAAACUCCAGAGCAUCCUCUAUCCCCAGGAACAAAAAGAGUUUCUUGGGGACUCUGGGGGGAACAACACAAUGUUGCAUAUGAAAAUUCCAUGAUAUGCCGGAUCUGCGAGGUUGAAAUACCGAUUGUACAUGUAGAGGAACACUCUCUGAUUUGUACUAUUGCUGACAGAUGUGACUUGAAAGGCUUUGGUGUAAAUGAAAGACUUGAAAGAGUUGCGGAAACUCUCGAAAAGAUACUGGACUCAUGGUCACCAAAAAGCACACCAAAAAGCACUCCAAAAGGAUGUGAUACUCCAAGAGGAAGUCCUGAGGUUGAAAGACUGCCUACAUCAGGUAUACAUGAAGUAUCAGAUGGGUUAUCAACAAAACGAAACAGCAUCUCUUCUCACUGCUCUGAAGAGAUGCUUGAUGUCGUCCCUGAUACUUUUGUGAUGGAAGAUCUCAACGCUUUUCCAGGAAUUUCAAGCGAAGCAUGUUCCACUCUAACACCAGAUGUAGACAAAAAAACCUCAUCAGGAGAAAGCUUGACACCACGAACACCAUUAUUAACGCCAAGGACUAGCCAAAUAGGAUUGCUAUUGAGUGGACAGAGGACAAUAGCAGAGCUUGAGAAUUCCCAUCAGGUAAGCAAGCUACUGGAUAUUGCUCGUUCUGUUGCAAGUCUAAGUGGCAACUAUAGUGCAUUACAGAGCAUGCUGGACCUUGUACAAGACGUAAAAUAUGCCAUUCAGGAUAGGAAGGUGGAUGCCCUCAUUGUAGAGACUUUUGGAAGACGCAUAGAGAAAUUAGUUCAGGAGAAAUGUGUACUUCUCUGUAAACAAAUAGAUGAUGAGAAAUCAGAUCCAUCAAAUCAUAUGGCUGAUGAAGAUAGUUCCGAGGAAAAUGAUGCAGUUCGAAGUUUGCGUACAAGUCCUAUUAAUAUGUCUUCUAAAGACCGAACUUCUAUAGAGGAUUUUGAAAUAAUAAAACCAAUCAGUAGAGGGGCAUUUGGAAGGGUUUUCCUUGCCAGAAAAAGAGCUACCGGUGAUUUGUUUGCUAUAAAGGUCUUAAAGAAGGCUGACAUGAUCCGUAAAAACGCAGUUCAGAGUAUUUUGGAAGAGCGUGACAUCCUCAUAACAGUCAGCAAUCCUUUUGUGGUUCGAUUUUUCUACUCCUUCACAUGCAGGGAAAAUCUGUAUCUGGUCAUGGAAUAUCUAAACGGUGGAGAUCUGUACUCUUUAUUGAGAAACUUGGGCUGCUUCGAUGAAGACAUGGCCCGUAUGUAUAUUGCAGAAGUUGUUCUUGCUUUGGAGUAUUUGCAUUCUUCAAAUGUCAUUCAUAGAGACUUGAAGCCUGACAAUUUGUUGAUUAGUCAAGAUGGUCACAUCAAGUUGACAGAUUUUGGGCUAUCAAAAGUUGGUCUUAUCAACAGUACAGAUGAUUUGUCUGUUCCGUUAGUCAGUAGUUCUGGUUUUCUUGAUGAUGAUGAACUGAAAAGUCAAUCUUCAUCCAAGAGUGAAGAGCGUCAAAAGCAUCCAGUUGUUGGAACUCCUGAUUAUUUGGCACCUGAGAUACUUCUUGGAAUGGGGCAUGGUGCAACUGCUGAUUGGUGGUCUGUGGGUGUUAUUCUUUAUGAGAUGCUUGUUGGUAUACCUCCAUUCAAUGCAGAAACUCCACAGCAAAUAUUUGACAACAUAAUGAAUAGAGAUAUUCCUUGGCCCAGGAUUCCUGAGGAGAUGAGCUUCGAUGCCUGUGAUUUGAUUGACAAAUUGUUGGCGGAAAAUCCACUUCAAAGGCUAGGAGCAACAGGAGCUAGAGAGGUUAAGAAACAUUCUUUCUUUAGAGACAUAAAUUGGGACACGCUUGCAAGGCAAAAGGCUAUGUUCAUUCCAUCAGGAGAAGCGCAUGACACAAGUUAUUUUAUGAGCCGGUAUAUAUGGAAUCCAGAAGGUGAAAAUGUGCAUGGAGGCAGUGACUUUGAGGACCUGACAGACACAUGCAGCAGUGGUUCAUUCAGCAAUACACAUGAUGAUAACGGGGGUGAAUGUGAUAGCUUGGCAGAGGUUGGCGCCCCAAUUCUUGAUAUGACGUACUCUUUUAGUAAUUUCUCGUUUAAGAAUUUGCCUCAGCUGGUUUCCAUCAAUUAUGAUCUAGUUGGUAAGAGCACAAAGGAAGCAGCAGAUGCCUCCAAACCAUCAGUUCCAUGACAUUUUAAAUUUGGUUGCUUCGGCGUAUGUGAGCUUCCACGACCUACACAAUUCUUCAUUUGCUACCUGCUGAAGUUCCUGAAAAUUUUGCACAGUUUCUUUACAUGGUCGCCCUCGUUUUCAGUUCUUUGAUCUGAAAAUUUCAGAAAGAGGCUUUCCUUGGACAGGAGCAGGGCUUGAAUAAACAGUCUAUUAGGAAAGCGACAUGCCCAUUUUACAGAUAUGGAGCUGCCAAACAAAGUGAUACUACAGCACAGAGAGAGUGGGAUUUGAUUGCUGCAGCCAACAGUGGAUGGAUGUUAAGUGGGACAAGUACAUGCUAUUUCGGGGUGGAUCUCAACUUUUUGAAAGUAGGUAGGUAAGGUCUCACUGUUAAUUUCUUGUGAAUGAUUCUGCAAUCCAUAAAAACUUUUAGAUUGUGAUAGAAAGAGGGAAAGAAACAUGCCAUUUGCUCUUUCUUUAGUCAAAUUGUAUAAACAACAAUUUCAAGAAAUAUCAAAGUUUAACGAGUAAAAGUAGAUGAAAAGGAGCAAUGCUAAUUUUAUAGAAAGAUUUUAAGAAAUCUCAACCAUUGAUUCAUGGAAUUCAUUAGUAGGAUCCUCUCAUUCAAUAUAUUAGGCUUUUACAAAGGGAUUCUGAAAAAAAAAAUUAUUAUGUAAAAUUAAUAUAAUGUUUUUGGAUGGAUUGAAUUGAUGCCCUUCAAUCAAAAGCUCAGACCAUAAUGUAUUGAUUAUACUCGAAGUUGCAACAAUUACCUAGCUAGGAAGAUUUUUUGCUUCCUCUCUUGUGCAUACAUAGACAAUGUGAUUCCUUCAAAAAAGAAAAAAGAAGUAAAGAUCAAGUUGCAAGACAAGGAAUCAGAUGGUUUCAAAAUGAUUGAGAAUCAAAUUUUAGAUGUUAUGUCAUCAUAGCCCAAUACUCAUAUCUCUUGCUGCGUUUUAUAUUUGUCAUUCUCUAUUGCCUAUGAUAAUUGCUUUUUUAUUGGUUUGUUUAUGAAACAUAGCUGAUAGCACACUCAAAAUUCCACAAUCAAAAGUAGGCAUCUGAUUUAGAUUCCCACUUAGGCUAUCCUUUUGACAUUAUCAUUUGAAGAUUAAGGCCACUACUAGCUAGCCAAGAUUAUGAUUUACGUUAUCAUCAUAAAAAGUUCUUGCUGUGCUGCAGCUUGGAUAUAUAAUUUAAGACUAGCUAUUAAAGUUGCAAGUAUAUAUAUGCUGGCUGGUUUUCUUAGGCGUUGAGUUAAAUAAUGUGUUUGCUCCUUCCUGUAUCUCAACAAGGGAGACUUGAUUUUGAUAGGCCAAGAAUAGCGAGAAAUUUUAGACUAUUUCAGGAGCAAUUACCAAUAUUUUACAUCAUAAAAGAGAGAUAAACAUAAAGAGAAGACAGAAAUAUGCGAGAAAACAAUAUAUAUAUAUUGAUAGUUACUGUUCCCACGAAGAAAAGGUGGAAUGACAGGAGUAGACGCCCAAAGCUUGAGAGUAGAAACCUAAAUUGCCAGCAUAAGCAAUAAUGGACUUAAGAUAUGGAAAGAUUCUGAGUUCAAGUCUGUUGCAUAAUUUAUAUAAAUAACUCUCUUUUUCUACUAGGGCAUGGAGCCUCUCUUUUUUGUUUUCAUUGAUUAAAAAACUAGCACUGUGACUUCAUACAGUCAGUGCUAAACCUUGAAGGAAUGAAUGCGAGGGUUCAAAGGGAUCCACAGUCGACAGAUACCUCAUUGUUUGUAAAUGCUAAAAAAAGAAAAAAGAAGAGUAUAAACGAUUCAGAACUGAUGAGACCGUACUAUGUCUUCUUCUUCUUCUCUGUUUUGACAUGUAGUUGUCAUCCACUGAUGCAAUGCAGUGAUCCUUGGAAUAAACUCCUAACAUUUGACUCUUCUCUGGCAAGUAAUAUCUUUUUUAUUUCUCA